GGAUUCCCCGGCGCUGGCAGGGGCUGCUCGGGCUUCCCCGGGCACUGCGCGGCCGCCAAAGCCACGGCGAGAGGUCAAAGCUGAAGGCAAACAGCAAGGACUGGAAGAAGAGAUGUUCAGCAACCACUCAGAAUUACCUUUAUUAGUAAAGGAGAAUGAAGCAUCCAGGAACAGAGAAUUUCACAAUGGGAAGAAGCAAGCUGCAGAGAGAGGAGGAUCAGACUGUGAUUAGUUGUGAGAGGUAGUUCCCCAUGGAUUAAAUAUCAGGACUGAGAUGCAGACAACAACCAGACGUUACCUUUUUUAAUGAAACGUCUUGAUAUCCCCGAAAAAUCCUGACCCAAUAUUAAUCCCAUGUUUCUCUAGCUGUGAAUAAAACAUUGCAUAGAACACAGUUCUGCUCCUGUCUUGCA
Molecule: long non-coding RNA, 413 nt
Organism: Calypte anna (Anna's hummingbird)
Lineage: Eukaryota; Metazoa; Chordata; Aves; Apodiformes; Trochilidae
Exons: 3
Source: RefSeq, a predicted model, not a curated record